GUAUAUCAAUAAGCGGAGGAAAAGAAACUAACAAGGAUUCCCCUAGUAGCGGCGAGCGAAGCGGGAAGAGCUCAAAUUUAUAAUCUGGCACCUUCGGUGUCCGAGUUGUAAUCUCUAGAAAUGUUUUCCGCGUUGGACCGCACACAAGUCUGUUGGAAUACAGCGGCAUAGUGGUGAGACCCCCGUAUAUGGUGCGGACGCCCAGCGCUUUGUGAUACAUUUUCGAAGAGUCGAGUUGUUUGGGAAUGCAGCUCAAAUUGGGUGGUAAAUUCCAUCUAAAGCUAAAUAUUGGCGAGAGACCGAUAGCGAACAAGUACCGUGAGGGAAAGAUGAAAAGCACUUUGGAAAGAGAGUUAACAGUACGUGAAAUUGUUGGAAGGGAAACGCUUGAAGUCAGACUUGCUUGCUGAGCAAUCGGUUUGCAGGCCAGCAUCAGUUUUCCGGGAUGGAUAAUGGUAGAGAGAAGGUAGCAGUUUCGGCUGUGUUAUAGCUCUCUGCUGGAUACAUCUUGGGGGACUGAGGAACGCAGUGUGCCUUUGGCGGGGGUUUCGACCUCUUCACACUUAGGAUGCUGGUGGAAUGGCUUUAAACGACCCGUCUUGAAACACGGACC
This 613-nucleotide ribosomal RNA is filed under the name Rhodotorula mucilaginosa. RNAcentral describes it as "LSU rRNA". It matches the Rfam family "Eukaryotic large subunit ribosomal RNA", at positions 38 to 667 of the family's 3401-position model. The record is from RNAcentral. Lineage: Eukaryota; Fungi; Basidiomycota; Microbotryomycetes; Sporidiobolales; Sporidiobolaceae.